Molecule: unclassified non-coding RNA, 253 nt
Filed under: uncultured Bacillota bacterium
Lineage: Bacteria; Bacillati; Bacillota
Description: uncultured Firmicutes bacterium contains 16S-23S intergenic spacer region
Rfam family: Bacterial small subunit ribosomal RNA
Source: RNAcentral
AACGUAGGGGGCGAGCGUUGUCCGGAAUUACUGGGCGUAAAGGGUGCGUAGGCGGCCGUUUAAGUCCUGUGUGAAAGGCCCCGGCUUAACCGGGGAGGGCCAUGGGAAACUGGACGGCUUGAGUGCCGGAGAGGGUUGCGGAAUUCCCGGUGUAGCGGUGAAAUGCGUAGAGAUCGGGAGGAACACCAGCGGCGAAGGCGGCAACCUGGACGGUGACUGACGCUGAGGCACGACAGCUGGGGGAGCGAACAGG